UGGGGAAUAUUGCACAAUGGGCGCAAGCCUGAUGCAGCCAUGCCGCGUGUGUGAAGAAGGCCUUCGGGUUGUAAAGCACUUUCAGCGAGGAGGAAGGUGGUGAACUUAAUACGUUCAUCAAUUGACGUUACUCGCAGAAGAAGCACCGGCUAACUCCGUGCCAGCAGCCGCGGUAAUACGGAGGGUGCAAGCGUUAAUCGGAAUUACUGGGCGUAAAGCGCACGCAGGCGGUUUGUUAAGUCAGAUGUGAAAUCCCCGGGCUCAACCUGGGAACUGCAUUUGAAACUGGCAAGCUAGAGUCUCGUAGAGGGGGGUAGAAUUCCAGGUGUACGGUGAAAUGCGUAGAGAUCUGGAGGAAUACCGGUGGCGAAGGCGGCCCCCUGGACGAAGACUGACGCUCAGGUGCGAAAGCGUGGGGAGCAAAACAGGAUUAGAUACCCGUGGUAAGUCCACGCUGUAAAACGAUGUCGAUUUGGAGGUUGUGCCCUUGAGGCGUGGCUUCCGGAGCUAACGCGUUAAAUCGACCGCCUGGGGAGUACGGCCGCAAGGUUAAAACUCAAAUGAAUUGACGGGGUCAUAGC
Molecule: ribosomal RNA, 581 nt
Filed under: uncultured bacterium
Lineage: Bacteria
Description: partial 16S ribosomal RNA
Rfam family: Bacterial small subunit ribosomal RNA
Source: RNAcentral